UCAAGUGCUUUCAUGAAGCUGUUAAUAGCAUUUUUCUUUGCAUUUUUUAAACAUUUUUUUUAGGACUAGACUAAUUACUCGUACCUAGAAAGGUCCAUAUAUGUCAUCAUUCUUGUAAAACUUGCCUAGGUCACAAUUGGUACAAGUAUGGGCAGCUUAGAAACAAAAUAUAUGUUCUUCCUCCUUUCCAUGCAUGCUGUCUUUGAAGCGAGUCCAUAGCUACGCACAAGCCAUUAUCGAUUUAAAC
This 247-nucleotide long non-coding RNA is filed under the name Elaeis guineensis (African oil palm). RNAcentral describes it as "long non-coding RNA (EGUI_LNC053602)". The record is from RNAcentral. Lineage: Eukaryota; Viridiplantae; Streptophyta; Magnoliopsida; Arecales; Arecaceae.